Molecule: ribosomal RNA, 2766 nt
Filed under: Vibrio cholerae
Lineage: Bacteria; Pseudomonadati; Pseudomonadota; Gammaproteobacteria; Vibrionales; Vibrionaceae
Description: bacterial LSU rRNA
Rfam family: Bacterial large subunit ribosomal RNA
Source: RNAcentral
GGCAGUCAGAGGCGAUGAAGGACGUACUAACUUGCGAUAAGCGCAGAUAAGGCAGUAAGAGCCGUUUGAGUCUGCGAUUUCCGAAUGGGGAAACCCAACUGCAUAAGCAGUUACUGUUAACUGAAUACAUAGGUUAACAGAGCAAACCGGGGGAACUGAAACAUCUAAGUACCCCGAGGAGAAGAAAUCAACCGAGAUUCCGGUAGUAGCGGCGAGCGAACCUGGAUUAGCCCUUAAGCACUCGGUGAAGUAGGUGAACAAGCUGGAAAGCUUGGCGAUACAGGGUGAUAGCCCCGUAACCGACGCUUCAUCGAGCGUGAAAUCGAGUAGGGCGGGACACGUGAUAUCCUGUCUGAAUAUGGGGGGACCAUCCUCCAAGGCUAAAUACUCCUGACUGACCGAUAGUGAACCAGUACCGUGAGGGAAAGGCGAAAAGAACCCCUGUGAGGGGAGUGAAAUAGAACCUGAAACCGUGUACGUACAAGCAGUAGGAGCACCUUCGUGGUGUGACUGCGUACCUUUUGUAUAAUGGGUCAGCGACUUAUAUUCAGUGGCAAGGUUAACCGUAUAGGGGAGCCGUAGCGAAAGCGAGUCUUAACUGGGCGCUCAGUCUCUGGAUAUAGACCCGAAACCGGGUGAUCUAGCCAUGGGCAGGUUGAAGGUUGAGUAACAUCAACUGGAGGACCGAACCGACUAAUGUUGAAAAAUUAGCGGAUGACUUGUGGCUAGGGGUGAAAGGCCAAUCAAACUCGGAGAUAGCUGGUUCUCCCCGAAAGCUAUUUAGGUAGCGCCUCGGACGAAUACUACUGGGGGUAGAGCACUGUUAAGGCUAGGGGGUCAUCCCGACUUACCAACCCUUUGCAAACUCCGAAUACCAGUAAGUACUAUCCGGGAGACACACGGCGGGUGCUAACGUCCGUCGUGGAGAGGGAAACAACCCAGACCGCCAGCUAAGGUCCCAAAGUAUUGCUAAGUGGGAAACGAUGUGGGAAGGCUCAGACAGCUAGGAUGUUGGCUUAGAAGCAGCCAUCAUUUAAAGAAAGCGUAAUAGCUCACUAGUCGAGUCGGCCUGCGCGGAAGAUGUAACGGGGCUAAGCAAUACACCGAAGCUGCGGCAAUGUCUUUUAGAUAUUGGGUAGGGGAGCGUUCUGUAAGCCGUUGAAGGUGAAUCGUAAGGUUUGCUGGAGGUAUCAGAAGUGCGAAUGCUGACAUGAGUAACGACAAAGGGGGUGAAAAACCUCCUCGCCGGAAGACCAAGGGUUCCUGUCCAACGUUAAUCGGGGCAGGGUGAGUCGACCCCUAAGGUGAGGCCGAAAGGCGUAAUCGAUGGGAAACGGGUUAAUAUUCCCGUACUUCUGACUAUUGCGAUGGGGGGACGGAGAAGGCUAGGUGGGCCAGGCGACGGUUGUCCUGGUUCAAGUGCGUAGGCUUGAGAGUUAGGUAAAUCCGGCUCUCUCUAAGGCUGAGACACGACGUCGAGCUGCUACGGCAGUGAAGUCAUUGAUGCCAUGCUUCCAGGAAAAGCCUCUAAGCUUCAGAUAGUCAGGAAUCGUACCCCAAACCGACACAGGUGGUCGGGUAGAGAAUACCAAGGCGCUUGAGAGAACUCGGGUGAAGGAACUAGGCAAAAUGGUACCGUAACUUCGGGAGAAGGUACGCUCUUGAUGGUGAAGUCCCUCGCGGAUGGAGCUGACGAGAGUCGCAGAUACCAGGUGGCUGCAACUGUUUAUUAAAAACACAGCACUGUGCAAAAUCGCAAGAUGACGUAUACGGUGUGACGCCUGCCCGGUGCCGGAAGGUUAAUUGAUGGGGUUAGCGCAAGCGAAGCUCUUGAUCGAAGCCCCGGUAAACGGCGGCCGUAACUAUAACGGUCCUAAGGUAGCGAAAUUCCUUGUCGGGUAAGUUCCGACCUGCACGAAUGGCGUAAUGAUGGCCACGCUGUCUCCACCCGAGACUCAGUGAAAUUGAAAUCGCUGUGAAGAUGCAGUGUACCCGCGGCUAGACGGAAAGACCCCGUGAACCUUUACUACAGCUUGGCACUGAACAUUGAACCUACAUGUGUAGGAUAGGUGGGAGGCUAUGAAGACGUGACGCCAGUUGCGUUGGAGCCGUCCUUGAAAUACCACCCUUGUAUGUUUGAUGUUCUAACUUAGACCCAUUAUCUGGGUUGAGGACAGUGCCUGGUGGGUAGUUUGACUGGGGCGGUCUCCUCCCAAAGAGUAACGGAGGAGCACGAAGGUGGGCUAAUCACGGUUGGACAUCGUGAGGUUAGUGCAAUGGCAUAAGCCCGCUUAACUGCGAGAAUGACGGUUCGAGCAGGUGCGAAAGCAGGUCAUAGUGAUCCGGUGGUUCUGUAUGGAAGGGCCAUCGCUCAACGGAUAAAAGGUACUCCGGGGAUAACAGGCUGAUACCGCCCAAGAGUUCAUAUCGACGGCGGUGUUUGGCACCUCGAUGUCGGCUCAUCACAUCCUGGGGCUGAAGUCGGUCCCAAGGGUAUGGCUGUUCGCCAUUUAAAGUGGUACGCGAGCUGGGUUUAGAACGUCGUGAGACAGUUCGGUCCCUAUCUGCCGUGGGCGUUGGAAGAUUGAAGGGGGCUGCUCCUAGUACGAGAGGACCGGAGUGGACGAACCUCUGGUGUUCGGGUUGUGUCGCCAGACGCAUUGCCCGGUAGCUAAGUUCGGAAUUGAUAAGCGCUGAAAGCAUCUAAGCGCGAAGCGAGCCCUGAGAUGAGUCUUCCCUGAUACUUUAAGUAUCCUAAAGGGUUGU